Drosophila subobscura is the source of this 2294-nucleotide RNA transcript. RefSeq lists it as uncharacterized. NCBI's taxonomy places the organism in Eukaryota, Metazoa, Arthropoda, Insecta, Diptera, Drosophilidae. The record is from RefSeq and is a predicted model, not a curated record. The transcript is spliced from 3 exons.
UUCCUUCAUUCCACCAUUCCCUUAUUCCUUCAUUCCAUCAAUCAGUCAAUUUUUCAAUUUUCGUUCGUGCGGAGGCAAAAUCCGCGUCUCCCGUUUGUUUAAAUAUAAUCUGAGUGUUUCGUGCAUUAUGCUGUUAACAACCUUAGGACAAUUACAAAUUUUUUUCUCUACCGCGCGUAUUUGUGUAAUUUAACUUUUUCAACUAAAAUCGAAGUUUGGAAGUGAAAAUUCUCAGCGCCGCCGGCUGCGUCUCUCGAAAUUUGCGUCGUUUCGCGCGGUGCUUUGGUUUUGUUUAUAUUUUUCACGCGUAUCGUCAAUCCGGCUGGGAAAUGCUCCACAUAAAUGUUUAUUAAAUAAUAUUCAUAAAUUUACAAGAAAUUGAGAAAUCCUCUUGUCCGUUCGUGUGUGUGUUUGUCUGUGGCAUCUGUUUACGAGCAUCGUCCACAAUUAGCGGAGCCAUCGGUGGAAGUGGGCAAGGAGGAGGAGCCAAGGAGCCGCCCAGCAACAACCAAUGGACCAUGUGGAUGCCGGUGCUGGAAUACUCGUACAACAGACACAUAGCCAAGAUACCAAAUUGUAAAAUGAGGCGAAUGACGCUCAAAGCGGCAUCGAUGCGAAUGCUACUGCCAUUGCUGCUCCUUCAACUGUUGCUGCUCCCCUGCCAGGCGGUGGAUCCAGCGGCCAGUGGUGUUGGAGCUACUGGCGGAGUCGGUGCUGCCGCUGGUGCUGGUGCUGUGGCAGGCAGCAACAGCCUCAGUAGUGGACCAGCGGGUGGCACACUGAGUGCCAAUCUCACGGAAUUGGGCAGUCCCGGUGUGUAUAAUUCGACAAAUGGAUAUAAUGCUAAUUGCAAUAUAUGUGGUAUAUGGCGUAUAUGUAACUGACCCCAGUCCCCACUCCCCAUCCCCCUUGACGACGCCGCCAUUUUGGCAUUUGUGUUUGUGUAUUUCCUUGUGCGCAUUUCCGGUUUCCGUUUCCGCUUGGCAAGAGCAGCAGGGAAUGGGUUGUGCUGGUGGCAAAAACUAUUAGCCACUUGGCGCUAAGUAACCACGCCCACGACCCUUUGGCAAACCCCUGCAACCCCCCGCAUCCAUUCACACAGAAGCAAAACACUAAGCAUCAAUUAACCCAAUUUUCAGAAUCCAUUUUCACCUGGCCAUGGAGCUGUGGACAUGGCUCUUUGGCUCUCUCGCUGAGUAUUUUCCCAGCCGCACUUCUGUGCGGGCUUAAGUGUGCGUGUUUGCAGUUCCUUCCAGCUCUGUGUAUAUAUGUAUAUAAUUUUUAGAGAGUUUUUCUCUCUGCCACCAAUCCCCAAGUGGCGACGUCGAAAGCAACUCCCAAUUCCCCAUCCCAAGGCCCCUCCCCUUUAAUCCUGGCUCUUUUUGCCAGCAUUUUCUUCUUCUCCAAACUCUUUCCACAGGCGUUCGUGCAUUUGUUGUAGUUUGGUUUGGUUUUGGUUUCUGGAUGUGGACUUCAACGUUGGAGCAGCAGCAGGAGCGGCAGCAGCAGUCGCAGCAAAUCAUAAUUAAUCCAUUGAUUUUGCAGCAAUUUUUUUGCAGCAUUUUGCAGCUUCAAUAAUUCACACAAAUCAUUUCCAGCCAUAAAUAUAAAUUCCUUUUACAGCAUUUAACAAUGAAUUUUUCAGCAAACAAGAGACGUUUUUUUGCGUCCAGUUUUUGGCCCUGGAAUACAUAUUACUGAUCCAAUUACAAAUUGAUGAGCAGACGCCACAGAACUGGUACGACAGUUUGUCAGCUACAACGGGCAGCGGGGGGUCAGAAACAGCUGGAGAUGCAGAUGUCCCGGAUUGCAUAUCUUUGAAGAAGUGACAACCCUUGAGAUGAAUUUACGACUGCUGGCCAGAGGAGCGGUCCACAUUUUCCCUCAUCAUCGUACGGCUGAAAGAAAAACGAAUUGUAUUAAUUGAUUUAAAUGCUAGUUCUAAGUGUGCGUUGUACAUAAAUCUACUAAUUAUGCAUAAACUAUUCGGUGAAGCCGCCCAUUCAAACGUGAUAAAACAUAAUUAAGCGUGUAAUUUAUUGCAAAUUUUAUUAUUAUCUGUGUACCGUAAAUCGAUGGUUUUUUUUUGUUAAUUUAGUUCCGUUUUAAAGUGUGAAUUUAUUACAUUGUCCAGCUAGAUUUAAACGUGUAAAACAUGGAUAAAAGCAUAAUGGAUGCAUUGUUAUUAUUUUAUAUGGCAAACAUUUGAAAUUCCAUAAAGUUAAAUAUAUUAUUGAGACACUUAAGCCGCAUCACUCUACACUUUGUUCACACAAGAUUUGUAUCGGCCAAUA